This 30-nucleotide non-coding RNA is filed under the name Mus musculus (house mouse). Lineage: Eukaryota; Metazoa; Chordata; Mammalia; Rodentia; Muridae. The record is from RNAcentral.
UGGUCUUUUCUUGAAUCUAGGACUAAUUGA